This 718-nucleotide ribosomal RNA is filed under the name uncultured bacterium. Its description in RNAcentral is "bacterial SSU rRNA". It matches the Rfam family "Bacterial small subunit ribosomal RNA", at positions 141 to 851 of the family's 1533-position model. The record is from RNAcentral.
GGACAACGGCCGGAAACGGCCGCUAAUACCGCAUAUUCCCGGGGGGCCGCAUGGCCCUGCGGGGAAAGCCCGGGGCGACCCGGACGGUGCGCGAUGGGCCCGCAUCCGAUUAGCUGGUUGGCGGGGCAGCGGCCCACCAAGGCGACGAUCGGUAGCCGGCCUGAGAGGGCGGACGGCCACACUGGGACUGAGACACGGCCCAGACUCCUGCGGGAGGCAGCAGUGGGGAAUAUUGCACAAUGGGGGGAACCCUGAUGCAGCGACGCCGCGUGGGUGAAGGAGCACCUCGGUGCGUAAAGCCCUAUCGGCAGGGAAGAAAAGCGAACAGGUUCCCUGGACGGUACCUGACUAAGAAGCCCCGGCUAACUACGUGCCAGCAGCCGCGGUAAUACGUAGGGGGCAAGCGUUAUCCGGAUUCACUGGGUGUAAAGGGAGCGUAGACGGCGACGCAAGUCUGGAGUGAAAGCCCGGGGCCCAACCCCGGGACUGCUCUGGAAACUGCGCCGCUGGAGUACGGGAGGGGCAGGCGGAAUUCCUGGUGUAGCGGUGAAAUGCGUAGAUAUCAGGAGGAACACCGGCGGCGAAGGCGGCCUGCUGGACCGUGACUGACGUUGAGGCUCGAGAGCGUGGGGAGCAAACAGGAUCAGAUACCCUGGUAGUCCACGCCGUAAACGAUGACUGCUAGGUGUCGGGGGACGACAGUGCCCCGGUGCCGCCG